GACGAACGCUGGCGGCGUGCUUAACACAUGCAAGUCGAACGGAAAGGCCCUGCAUUUGUGGGGUGCUCGAGUGGCGAACGGGUGAGUAACACGUGAGUAACCUGCCCUUGACUUUGGGAUAACUUCAGGAAACUGGGGCUAAUACCGGAUAGGAGCUCCUGCUGCAUGGUGGGGGUUGGAAAGUUUCGGCGGUUGGGGAUGGACUCGCGGCUUAUCAGCUUGUUGGUGGGGUAGUGGCUUACCAAGGCUUUGACGGGUAGCCGGCCUGAGAGGGUGACCGGCCACAUUGGGACUAAGAUACGGCCCAGACUCCUACGGGAGGCAGCAGUGGGGAAUAUUGCACAAUGGGCGGAAGCCUGAUGCAGCAACGCCGCGUGCGGGAUGACGGCCUUCGGGUUGUAAACCGCUUUCGCCUGUGACGAAGCGUGAGUGACGGUAAUGGGUAAAGAAGCACCGGCUAACUACGUG
RNAcentral lists this ribosomal RNA (468 nucleotides) under uncultured bacterium. RNAcentral's name for it is "partial 16S ribosomal RNA". It matches the Rfam family "Bacterial small subunit ribosomal RNA", at positions 28 to 507 of the family's 1533-position model. The record is from RNAcentral.